ACGAAAGAUUGACGAUUGGUAAGAAUCCACAACAAGUUGUUCUUCAUACGAUGUAUCUGAGGGUCUGUAGCUCAGUUGGUUAGAGCACACGCUUGAUAAGCGUGGGGUCACAAGUUCAAGUCUUGUCAGACCCACCAAAUCUGACUAACGCAGCAUGCAAGUGCUGAAGCAAACAGAACAGAACGAUACAUUGACUUAUUGAUAAGCUGGGGACUUAGCUUAGUUGGUAGAGCGCCUGCUUUGCACGCAGGAGGUCAGGAGUUCGACUCUCCUAGUCUCCACCAUCAUUUAAGAUAAGUUGUUAGAUUAUAGAAUUUAGUAAGUUUAAGCUUAUUAAGUUCUGUGAUUUAUCACAGCGUCUAGACCUGACGAAGGCUAGACCGAUCAUUAACAGAAUAUAUUUGAGUUGAAAUAAAUUGUUUAAGGCUCAGAACUAAAUUGACAUUAAAAUGUGACACGCAAGUGACAUGUUUGAAUGAAGAUGCAGAACUGAGAAACUAGCGAUUAACUGAAUCAAGCGUUUUGGUAUAUGAAUCUAAUUGAAGCUGUACAGUGAUUAAGUUCACGAGACACUAAACUGAAUGUUGGUUGAUCUACUUGUAGGAUCAAGCGACUGUUUGGGGUUGUAU
Molecule: transfer RNA, 629 nt
Filed under: Acinetobacter lwoffii
Lineage: Bacteria; Pseudomonadati; Pseudomonadota; Gammaproteobacteria; Moraxellales; Moraxellaceae
Rfam family: tRNA (bases 61-134)
Source: RNAcentral